This 242-nucleotide long non-coding RNA is filed under the name Capra hircus (goat). RNAcentral's name for it is "lncRNA (ENSCHIG00010003430.1)". The record is from RNAcentral. Lineage: Eukaryota; Metazoa; Chordata; Mammalia; Artiodactyla; Bovidae.
GCAAAUAUUUGAGCUUAAGAUAAGAACCUCUCUCAUCUCAGUAGUGAAAGGGUCAGGAUGGGAAUAAAAAGGCAUGGGGACCAGCAGCCACCAAAAUGAGAUCUGGAAGAUGUCUUUCUCCAUCCAGGGGUAGAUUCCUUUGUGGCUCCAGUCAUGUCCAGUUCUUUGUGACCCCGUGACUGCAGCACGCCAGGCUUCCCUGUCCUUUACCAUCGCCCGCAGUCCACUGAAACUCACGUCCA